GCAGAUACAGAUGAUGACAUUUUUUGUGUUGACUCACAGUGAUUGUUCAAAGUAAACGCACUGAUGUAUUUGCU
Trichomycterus rosablanca is the source of this 74-nucleotide small nucleolar RNA. RefSeq annotates it as small nucleolar RNA U105B. Lineage: Eukaryota; Metazoa; Chordata; Actinopteri; Siluriformes; Trichomycteridae. The transcript has a single exon. The record is from RefSeq and is a predicted model, not a curated record.